AAAAUAUCACUCAUUGAAAGAUGUAUUAAUAUCCCCUUUAGACCUGUAGCAUUCCCAAAAAUCAAUACUUGGCCACAUUUUGUGUGCUCAAAGAUCAGACGCUGAGUUUCCAGCUCCUGCUGCACAUGCUUCAUCACUGCCAGCUCUGUUUAAAGCUGAGCGGCUGCUGUAUGUAACCUCUCUAUUCAAUCUCCUUCAUGAGCUGCUGUCAUGAUGCUUUCUCAUCAUAGAGCUUCAGAGCUGAGUUUAGGCACGUUAACUAAAACAAAAGGUUACUGCAGUGAUUGAGAAAGACAGAUUGUUUUGAGACGUGUCCAAUGUAUCAAAACUUGAGACGGCUGAUAAAACCACAGAAGCCAAGACUUUGGACUGCUGAUCUAAUGUGUUUUUAGUGCGAUCGGGGCUAGUUGUCGCACUGUUGUUGCAGGGACUUUAUGUCAAGUGGAAGUCUAUAUUCUCUGUUUUAUGUUAAUGUUUGAGCAAGCUGUCUAUAUAUUAUUUGUGAUAGGCUUUACAUAUAAAUGUUUUUAUAUUAUAUUAUUAUAUCCUUUAUAUAUUAUUUAUAUUUUAAUGUUAUUUUAUACAGUUCUUUAGACCUUACUCAUGGUUUUUGUGCUUGGGUGGUUUUUUAAUGAUAAAUUGUUUUCAUGUUUUUCCCCUCUAGAUGAUGCAUCCUCCGGCUGUAUACUAUUAUGAUGCGGCAUUUUCCAGCUAUAUAGUAUAAUGAUAAAUGAGGAUUCAGCCGGAAAGCCGCUAUUUGCAGACACAGCUCCCUUAUCAAAAGUCUAAACAGCUGAAAACUUCAGAGCAGGAUUCACACAGCGCUCUCAUUUCCAUACAGGCAACACGACAGAUGACUGCUGCUUUCAAACACAUGCACAUUCUCCACCUCAUAUUCUUUCAUUCAUUCAAACAUUAACAAUCUCCUGCAAUGUCAGUCCAUAAGAAUCAUAAUAUUUGGCUAACUGUCUAUUCAAAUAUUUAGGGCUGGGGGGUGGGUUUGCUCCUGUGUUCCAGCAGGAGGGAUGUUCUGUAUUUACUAAAGUAACCAAUGUUCCUCAGGUUUGGUUGCAUCCUUUCUUUUCCUCUUAAAGGGAUAGUUCAGUCAAAAGUGAAAAUUCUAUUUUUUAUUUAUUUACACCUUGAAGUGAGUUUGGAAUGACCUCAGGGCAAAUAAAUAAUGACAGAAUCUUCCCUGCUGUCA
Cyprinus carpio (common carp) is the source of this 1204-nucleotide long non-coding RNA. The record is from Ensembl. NCBI's taxonomy places the organism in Eukaryota, Metazoa, Chordata, Actinopteri, Cypriniformes, Cyprinidae.